UACGAAGGGGGCUAGCGUUGCUCGGAAUGACUGGGCGUAAAGGGCGCGUAGGCGGUUCGUACAGUCAGACGUGAAAUUCCUGGGCUCAACCUGGGGGCUGCGUUUGAUACGUGCGGACUUGAGUGCGGAAGAGGGUCGUGGAAUUCCCAGUGUAGAGGUGAAAUUCGUAGAUAUUGGGAAGAACACCGGUGGCGAAGGCGGCGACCUGGUCCGAUACUGACGCUGAGGCGCGAAAGCGUGGGGAGCAAACAGG
Molecule: ribosomal RNA, 253 nt
Filed under: uncultured bacterium
Lineage: Bacteria
Description: partial 16S ribosomal RNA
Rfam family: Bacterial small subunit ribosomal RNA
Source: RNAcentral